UGGGGAAUAUUGGACAAUGGGGGCAACCCUGAUCCAGCCAUGCCGCGUGAGUGAUGAAGGCCUUCGGGUUGUAAAGCUCUUUUGGCGGGGACGAUGAUGACGGUACCCGCAGAAUAAGCCCCGGCUAACUUCGUGCCAGCAGCCGCGGUAAGACGAAGGGGGCUAGCGUUGUUCGGAAUUACUGGGCGUAAAGCGAGUGUAGGCGGUUGCCGUAGUCAGGUGUGAAAGCCUUGAGCUCAACUCAAGAAAUGCACUUGAUACUGGGUGACUAGAGGACCGGAGAGGAUAGUGGAAUUCCCAGUGUAGUGGUGAAAUACGUAGAGAUUGGGAAGAACACCAGUGGCGAAGGCGGCUAUCUGGACGGUUACUGACGCUAAGACUCGAAAGCGUGGGGAGCAAACAGGAUUAGAUACCCUGGUAGUCCACGCCGUAAACGAUGGGUGCUAGACGUUGGCGAGCUUGCUCGUCAGUGUCGCAGCUAACGCGUUAAGCACCCCGCCUGGGGAGUACGGCCGCAAGGUUGAAACUCAAAGG
This 534-nucleotide ribosomal RNA is filed under the name uncultured bacterium. Its description in RNAcentral is "partial 16S ribosomal RNA". It matches the Rfam family "Bacterial small subunit ribosomal RNA", at positions 355 to 907 of the family's 1533-position model. The record is from RNAcentral.